AUACUUACCUGGCAGGGGAGAUACCAUGAUCACAAAGGUGGUUUUCCCAGGGUGAGGUUUAUCCGUUGCACUCCGGAUGAGCUGAAAAUAAAAAUAAAUAAAUAAAUAAAUAAAUAAAUAAAUAAAUACAAUGAAAAUGAGCACGGUUGCUGGAUUCCAGCUUCUGUC
Molecule: small nuclear RNA, 168 nt
Organism: Heterocephalus glaber (naked mole-rat)
Lineage: Eukaryota; Metazoa; Chordata; Mammalia; Rodentia; Bathyergidae
Gene: U1
Rfam family: U1 spliceosomal RNA
About the family: U1 is a small nuclear RNA (snRNA) component of the spliceosome (involved in pre-mRNA splicing).
Source: Ensembl